UGGGGAAUAUUGCACAAUGGGCGAAAGCCUGAUGCAGCGACGCCGCGUGAGGGACGACGGCCUUCGGGUUGUAAACCUCUUUCAGCAGGGACGAAGCGAAAGUGACUGUACCUGCAGAAGAAGCACCGGCUAACUACGUGCCAGCAGCCGCGGUAAUACGUAGGGUGCAAGCGUUGUCCGGAUUUAUUGGGCGUAAAGAGCUCGUAGGCGGUUUGUCGCGUCGGAUGUGAAAACCUAUGGCUUAACCAUGGGCCUGCAUUCGAUACGGGCAAACUAGAGUUCGGUAGGGGAGACUGGAACUCCUGGUGUAGCGGUGAAAUGCGCAGAUAUCAGGAAGAACACCGGUGGCGAAGGCGGGUCUCUGGGCCGAUACUGACGCUGAGGAGCGAAAGCGUGGGGAGCAAACAGG
RNAcentral lists this ribosomal RNA (409 nucleotides) under uncultured bacterium. RNAcentral's name for it is "bacterial SSU rRNA". It matches the Rfam family "Bacterial small subunit ribosomal RNA", at positions 355 to 776 of the family's 1533-position model. The record is from RNAcentral.